GAUGAACGCUAGCUACAGGCUUAACACAUGCAAGUCGAGGGGUAACGAGAGGAAAGCUUGCUUUCCUUGUCGACGACCGGCGCACGGGUGAGUAACGCGUAUCCAACCUGCCCCCAACUAGGGAAUAACCUUGCGAAAGUAAGACUAAUACCCUAUAAUUUCCUCAGAUGUCAUCUGACGAGGAAUAAAGAUUUAUCGGUUGUGGAAGGGGAUGCGUCUGAUUAGCUUGUUGGCGGGGUAACGGCCCACCAAGGCAACGAUCAGUAGUGGUUCUGAGAGGAAGGUCCCCCACAUUGGAACUGAGACACGGUCAAAAUUCCUACGAGAGGAAGCAGUGAGGAAUAUUGCACAAUGGGCGCAAGCCUGAUGCAGCCAUGCCGCGGGUAUGAAGAAGGCCUUCGGGUUGUAAAGUACUUUCAGCGGGGAGGAAGGCGGUGAAGUUAAUAACUUCACCGAUUGACGUUACCCGCAGAAGAAGCACCGGCUAACUCCGUGCCAGCCGCCGCCGUAA
This 511-nucleotide ribosomal RNA is filed under the name uncultured bacterium. Its description in RNAcentral is "partial 16S ribosomal RNA". It matches the Rfam family "Bacterial small subunit ribosomal RNA", at positions 28 to 523 of the family's 1533-position model. The record is from RNAcentral.